UGGGGAAUCUUGGACAAUGGGGGCAACCCUGAUCCAGCCAUGCCGCGUGAGUGAUGAAGGCCUUAGGGUUGUAAAGCUCUUUCACCGGUGAAGAUAAUGACGGUAGCCGGAGAAGAAGCCCCGGCUAACUCCGUGCCAGCAGCCGCGGUAAUACGGAGGGGGCUAGCGUUGUUCGGAAUUACUGGGCGUAAAGCGCGCGUAGGCGGACUGAUCAGUCAGGGGUGAAAUCCCGGGGCUCAACCCCGGAACUGCCUUUGAUACUGUCAGUCUUGAGUCCGGAAGAGGCGAGUGGAAUACCGAGUGUAGAGGUGAAAUUCGUAGAUAUUUGGAGGAACACCAGUGGCGAAGGCGGCUCACUGGCUCGAUACUGACGCUGAGGUGCGAAAGUGUGGGGAGCAAACAGGAUUAGAUACCCUGGUAGUCCACACCGUAAACGAUGAAUGCCAGUCGUCGGGUAGCAUGCUAUUCGGUGACACACCUAACGGAUUAAGCAUUCCGCCUGGGAGUACGGUCGCAAGAUUAAAAGCUCAAA
This 532-nucleotide ribosomal RNA is filed under the name uncultured bacterium. RNAcentral's name for it is "bacterial SSU rRNA". It matches the Rfam family "Bacterial small subunit ribosomal RNA", at positions 355 to 905 of the family's 1533-position model. The record is from RNAcentral.